Molecule: unclassified non-coding RNA, 320 nt
Filed under: Hevea brasiliensis (rubber tree)
Lineage: Eukaryota; Viridiplantae; Streptophyta; Magnoliopsida; Malpighiales; Euphorbiaceae
Source: RNAcentral
AUCUAUAGUGCUACAUAUUUUCUGUUACUGAGGCUUUGCUUGGCCAUGGGUUGUAGAUGGUGAGGGUGUCUUUGAACUGCUGGGUUAUGGAGCUUCAAUCGCCGAUACUGAGGAAGAGAGAUCCCAAAGGAUUAAUUGCUGGCAACCUGUCCUCUGAUCGUUGCCUCCCCCUCUAGCUAAAAGAGAAUGAGAAGCCACAAUGGAGGCUCUAGCAAUGUGCUUUAGAUUCGUCUCCCUCUCGGUGAUGGAUGUCAGCUGAGAGGGGCUUAACCAUCCUUUUUCGGAUCUCCGGUUUCAAACCCACAACUCAUCGGAGCUAG